UCAGGAUGAACGCUAGCUACAGGCUUAACACAUGCAAGUCGAGGGUAGCAGGGUAGCAAUACCGCUGACGACCGGCGCACGGGUGAGUAACACGUAUCCAACCUUCCCAUAACUCAGGGAUAGCCUUUCGAAAGAAAGAUUAAUACCUGAUAGUACUUUUUCAAGGCAUCUUGAAAAAGUUAAAGAUUUAUUGGUUAUGGAUGGGGAUGCGCUCCAUUAGAUAGUUGGUGAGGUAACGGCUCACCAAGUCUUCGAUGGAUAGGGGUUCUGAGAGGAAGGUCCCCCACAUUGGUACUGAGACACGGACCAAACUCCUACGGGAGGCAGCAGUGAGGAAUAUUGGUCAAUGGGCGAGAGCCUGAACCAGCCAAGUAGCGUGAAGGAAUGAAGGUCCUAUGGAUUGUAAACUUCUUUUAUAGUAGAAUAAAGUGAGCCACGUGUGGUUUUUUGUAUGUAUACUAUGAAUAAGGAUCGGCUAACUCCGUGCCAGCCGCAGC
This 497-nucleotide ribosomal RNA is filed under the name uncultured bacterium. RNAcentral's name for it is "bacterial SSU rRNA". It matches the Rfam family "Bacterial small subunit ribosomal RNA", at positions 24 to 518 of the family's 1533-position model. The record is from RNAcentral.